Molecule: ribosomal RNA, 673 nt
Filed under: Stereum sanguinolentum
Lineage: Eukaryota; Fungi; Basidiomycota; Agaricomycetes; Russulales; Stereaceae
Description: eukaryotic LSU rRNA
Rfam family: 5.8S ribosomal RNA (bases 257-410)
Source: RNAcentral
GGAAGUAAAAGUCGUAACAAGGUUUCCGUAGGUGAACCUGCGGAAGGAUCAUUAAUGAAAUUUAUGACUGGGGUUGUAGCUGGCCUUUUAAAACGGGCAUGUGCACGCCUCUUUCACUAAUCCACACACACCUGUGCACCUUUGCGGGGGUUCUGGGAAUCGGCGCAAGUCGUAGUACCGGGGCUCGCGUCCCUUUACACACCCUUUAUGUAUGUCUUAAGAAUGUCUACUCGAUGUAAUAAAACGCAUCUAAUACAACUUUCAACAACGGAUAUCUUGGCUCUCGCAUCGAUGAAGAACGCAGCGAAAUGCGAUAAGUAAUGUGAAUUGCAGAAUUCAGUGAAUCAUCGAAUCUUUGAACGCACCUUGCGCCCUUUGGUAUUCCGAAGGGCACACCUGUUUGAGUGUCGUGAAAUUCUCAACCCUCUUCACUUUUUUGUGAUCAGGGAUUGGACUUGGAGGCUUUGCCGGACUUUUCGUUCGGCUCCUCUCAAAUGCAUUAGUGCGUCUUGUUGCGACGUGCGCCUCGGUGUGAUAAUUAUCUACGCUGUGGUGCGCUUGCUUCUGUGGAGACAUGCUUUCAAACCGUCCGAAAGGGACAACUUUCAUCGAACUUUGACCUCAAAUCAGGUGGGACUACCCGCUGAACUUAAGCAUAUCAAUAAGCGGAGGA